Molecule: long non-coding RNA, 1261 nt
Filed under: Meriones unguiculatus (Mongolian gerbil)
Lineage: Eukaryota; Metazoa; Chordata; Mammalia; Rodentia; Muridae
Description: lncRNA (ENSMUGG00000001492.1)
Source: RNAcentral
GAUAAAUUUAACUCUUAGGCUGAUAAAACUCGCGUGGCAUUUGUUCCCUGAACCAUUUAAGUUCGGAGUGAUCUACGAGAGGGUAUGGCUUUCCUGAAUUCACCUCCUUGCGUUUUCUUAAAAGUAACUGUGCAAAAUUAGACACAAGAAGGAAAAACACCACUCCCCUUGCUGUUCUCCAAGGCCUCAGCGUUUAAGGCAAAACGCUCAAAGCUCACCAGGGUGCUGAACCCUAACCAUGACAAUGCCAUUUAACUUAAGAAAUACGUCUCCGGGGAUUGCAAAGCCCACGUCCAGAGAACAGGUGCCGCCACCGACAUACCCCCUCGACUCCAGCAGGACAGACCUCCGCUGGACCGCUGUGACUCAUUUAACCUUCCCCUAGAAGUUGAGACCCUCCACAGCCGCCGGCUUGUCAGUCGCCGAUCUAAGGGAGGGGGAGACCGAGGCACCCAGGCCAUUCACUGCCCAGCCUCCGCCGCUCUCCGGGACGGAUCUCCGUGCGGGUUCACUCCGGUUUCCAGCCCCAGAAACCCACACAGAAACCCCGCAAGGCAGAGGAACCCGCCUUCCCACGGUCUGGCCACGGGGACCGGACCCCGCUGCGGGGGACAAGGAGCGUGGUUGCCAUCUGCCAUUUCACCUACAUAUUUUUCGGGAAAUCACGCAAAGGAUAAUACUGUUACUGCUACGGACAAGAAGGUACCGCCAGCAAAUCCUACCUUAAGACAAGACUUUGCCAAGUUGCCCAUAUUAGCCUUGCCAAGCACUGGGAGGCAUGCACCUCCUCAUGCAGUGAGACUGGGAUUACUGAAGAGGGUGAAGCAUUUGCCUCAGGCUCGCGAACAACGACCCCAGGAAGCAACCCAUCCACCUCCUUCACACAAUUUGAGCAAAUGAUCUACCUACCUUUGAUGUUAAAGCCACUGAGAUUUGGCUGUUUUUCUUGUUUGUUUGUUUGUUUUGUUUUACUGCAGUGUGACCUAGAAUCUAAGUUAUGUUAGGUAGAUUGUACUAGAAUCAGGGUGGUCGCAAAGUAUUAUAAUUAAUCUCCUCAAUAUCGUUACACUACUUGAGUAAACCAGCCCCAUCCGACCAAAAGGUCGACUUCCAGUCUAUGCUUCGGAGAGAGGAUUCUCCUUCCCCUAGGUGUGAAUAAGUCAGCCUAUAAACCAAAGUGCUGCAGACAUCAGUGUGCAAGAUGAACUGGCUGUAAAAUGAACACAAUAAAGAUGACAGCGAGACAGGAAAACUCUGGAAA